RNAcentral lists this ribosomal RNA (496 nucleotides) under uncultured bacterium. Its description in RNAcentral is "partial 16S ribosomal RNA". It matches the Rfam family "Bacterial small subunit ribosomal RNA", at positions 29 to 507 of the family's 1533-position model. The record is from RNAcentral.
AUGAACGCUGGCGGCGUGCCUAAUACAUGCAAGUCGAGCGAACGGACGAGAAGCUUGCUUCUCUGAUGUUAGCGGCGGACGGGUGAGUAACACGUGGAUAACCUACCUAUAAGACUGGGAUAACUUCGGGAAACCGGAGCUAAUACCGGAUAAUAUUUUGAACCGCAUGGUUCAAAAGUGAAAGACGGUCUUGCUGUCACUUAUAGAUGGAUCCGCGCUGCAUUAGCUAGUUGGUAAGGUAACGGCUUACCAAGGCAACGAUGCAUAGCCGACCUGAGAGGGUGAUCGGCCACACUGGAACUGAGACACGGUCCAGACUCCUACGGGAGGCAGCAGUAGGGAAUCUUCCGCAAUGGGCGAAAGCCUGACGGAGCAACGCCGCGUGGGUGAUGAAGGUCUUCGGAUCGUAAAACUCUGUUAUUAGGGAAGAACAUAUGUGUAAGUAACUGUGCACAUCUUGACGGUACCUAAUCAGAAAGCCACGGCUAACUACGUG